GGCAGAAGGUCGGCCAAAACGCAUAUCUAAGGCACCUCUAUGUGGGACAGGGGGGCACAAACAUGGACACAAUGCUGGGCCGGAGGCAUCUGACGAAGGACAUGCAAGACCUCCUCCUUAUUAUACGAGAAAGCGUAAGGUUCAAAAAAGGUGAAAGGUACAGCUGGGACAUUAGCUGGAGGUAGAUAUUCAUGUACAGUGCUACACUGCUGCUUCCUUCUGCUGUAGUUGGUUACCAACAAUUCAACAGUGUUGUAGUGCAGCAGCGAAAGUGAGUUGUAG
Long non-coding RNA from Quercus robur (English oak), 282 nucleotides. RefSeq lists it as uncharacterized. The record is from RefSeq and is a predicted model, not a curated record. The transcript is spliced from 3 exons. NCBI's taxonomy places the organism in Eukaryota, Viridiplantae, Streptophyta, Magnoliopsida, Fagales, Fagaceae.